RNAcentral lists this ribosomal RNA (496 nucleotides) under uncultured bacterium. RNAcentral describes it as "partial 16S ribosomal RNA". It matches the Rfam family "Bacterial small subunit ribosomal RNA", at positions 29 to 507 of the family's 1533-position model. The record is from RNAcentral.
AUGAACGCUGGCGGCGUGCCUAAUACAUGCAAGUCGAGCGAACGGACGAGAAGCUUGCUUCUCUGAUGUUAGCGGCGGACGGGUGAGUAACACGUGGAUAACCUACCUAUAAGACUGGGAUAACUUCGGGAAACCGGAGCUAAUACCGGAUAAUAUUUUGAACCGCAUGGUUCAAAAGUGAAAGACGGUCUUGCUGUCACUUAUAGAUGGAUCCGCGCUGCAUUAGCUAGUUGGUAAGGUAACGGCUUACCAAGGCAACGAUGCAUAGCCGACCUGAGAGGGUGAUCGGCCACACUGGAACUGAGACACGGUCCAGACUCCUACGGGAGGCAGCAGUAGGGAAUCUUCCGCAAUGGGCGAAAGCCUGAUGGAGCAACGCCGCGUGAGUGAUGAAGGUCUUCGGAUCGUAAAACUCUGUUAUUAGGGAAGAACAUAUGUGUAAGUAACUGUGCACAUCUUGACGGUACCUAAUCAGAAAGCCACGGCUAACUACGUG